Molecule: ribosomal RNA, 435 nt
Filed under: uncultured Saccharofermentans sp.
Lineage: Bacteria; Bacillati; Bacillota; Clostridia; Eubacteriales; Oscillospiraceae
Description: partial 16S ribosomal RNA
Rfam family: Bacterial small subunit ribosomal RNA
Source: RNAcentral
ACGGGAGGCAGCAGUGGGGAAUAUUGGGCAAUGGGCGCAAGCCUGACCCAGCAACGCCGCGUGGAGGAUGAAGGUCUUCGGAUUGUAAACUUCUUUGAUCAGGGACGAAUAAUGACGGUACCUGAAGAACAAGUCACGGCUUACUACGUGCCAGCAGCCGCGGUAAUACGUAGGUGACAAGCGUUAUCCGGAUUUACUGGGUGUAAAGGGCGUGUAGGCGGUUUGGCAAGUCAGAAGUGAAAUUCCUGGGCUCAACCCGGGCGCUGCUUCUGAAACUGCAGAACUUGAGUACUGGAGGGGAAAGCGGAAUUCCUAGUGCAGCGGUAAAAUGCGCAGAUAUUAGGAGGAACACCGGUGGCGAAGGCGGCUUUCUGGACAGUAACUGACGCUGAGGCGCGAAAGCGUGGGGAGCAAACAGGAUUAGAUACCCUGGUA